UGGCCUAACGGCUGAACCAGCAACUUGGGGGAAUGUAUAGCUUAGGCUAACCAUAUCUGGUUUUAUUAAUGUUCUAUUCUUUAUUAUCUUUUAAAUAAGAGAAAGAGGUUAGUUUUUUAAUAAAUUAACAGUUUGUUAAUUAUUAGAUAAUAUAUCUUUAAAUAACUUAACUAAAUUUAUUUAGACUGACAAUAUGGUAUCGAUUUUGUCGAGUAAAGUUCUAGAUAUUAAACUGAUUAUGACAAUUUAUUAUCUAUAUGUCUUGACCAAACUACGUGCCAGCAGUCGCGGUAAUACGUAGGAGACUAGUGUUAUUCAUCUUAAAUAGGUUUAAAGGGUACCUAGACGGUAAAAAAUAGUCAAAUAAGAUACUAUUUUACUAGAGUUAUAUUUGAGGGGGUGAGUACUUGAGGAGUAGAGUCAAAAUUUUAUGAUACCUUGAGGACUGGUAACGGCGAAAGCAACCUUCUAUCUGGUAACUGACGUUGAGGGACGAAGGCUUGGGUCGCGAAUAGGAUUAGAUACCCUAGUAGUCCAAGCAGAAAAUUAUGGAUGCCAUAGGUUAGAUUUUUUUUAAUCUAUAAAUGAAAGUGUAAGCAUUUCACCUUAAGAGUAAUGCGGCAACGCAGGAACUGAAAUCAUUAGACCGUUUCUGAAACCAGUAGUGAAGUAUGUUAUUUAAUUCGUAAUUACGCGAAAAACCUUACCACAAUUUGAAUAUUAUCUUAGGGAGCUUAUUAAUAAACUCCCUAAGAUAUUACAAGCGUUGCAUGGCUGUCUUUAGUUAAUGUCGUGAGAUAACGGUUAAUUCCUUAAAAUUAACGGAAGCCCUUGCUUUAUUUGUUUCUUUAUUAGAAAAUAAGGCAGUUCGCCAAUACAUUGGAUAUGAUAACAGGGACCAAGGCAAGUCAUCAUGACCUUAAUAUUGUGGGCGAUAGACGUGCCACAUACUCUUAUACAAAAUGAUGCGAAAAUGUGAAUUUGAGCUAAUCUAAUUAAAGUAGGAGAUAAUA
RNAcentral lists this ribosomal RNA (1013 nucleotides) under Myxotrichum deflexum. RNAcentral describes it as "SSU rRNA". The stretch from base 166 to 1013 matches the Rfam family "Bacterial small subunit ribosomal RNA", at positions 1 to 1293 of the family's 1533-position model. Lineage: Eukaryota; Fungi; Ascomycota; Leotiomycetes; Myxotrichaceae. The record is from RNAcentral.